RNAcentral lists this ribosomal RNA (253 nucleotides) under uncultured prokaryote. RNAcentral's name for it is "partial 16S ribosomal RNA". It matches the Rfam family "Bacterial small subunit ribosomal RNA", at positions 525 to 777 of the family's 1533-position model. The record is from RNAcentral.
ACGGGGGGGGCAAGCGUUGUUCGGAAUUACUGGGCGUAAAGGGCUCGUAGGUGGCCAACUAAGUCAGACGUGAAAUCCCUCGGCUUAACCGGGGAACUGCGUCUGAUACUGGUUGGCUUGAGUUUGGGAGAGGGACGCGGAAUUCCAGGUGUAGCGGUGAAAUGCGUAGAUAUCAGGAAGAACACCCGUGGCUAAGGCGGCUCUCUAGUACGGUACUGACGCUGAGACGCGAAAGCGUGGGGAGCGAACAGGA